RNAcentral lists this transfer RNA (77 nucleotides) under Rubrivivax sp. Its description in RNAcentral is "tRNA-Pro". It matches the Rfam family "tRNA". From Rfam's summary of the family: Transfer RNA (tRNA) molecules are approximately 80 nucleotides in length. Their secondary structure includes four short double-helical elements and three loops (D, anti-codon, and T loops). The record is from RNAcentral. Lineage: Bacteria; Pseudomonadati; Pseudomonadota; Betaproteobacteria; Burkholderiales; Sphaerotilaceae. RNAcentral also lists the same sequence under 1 other name.
CGGGGUGUAGCGCAGCCUGGUAGCGCAAUUGCUUUGGGAGCAAUGGGUCGGACGUUCGAAUCGUCUCACCCCGACCA